This 376-nucleotide ribosomal RNA is filed under the name uncultured bacterium. Its description in RNAcentral is "bacterial SSU rRNA". It matches the Rfam family "Bacterial small subunit ribosomal RNA", at positions 524 to 898 of the family's 1533-position model. The record is from RNAcentral.
UACGAAGGUGGCGAAUGAUACUCGGAUUCACUGGGCGUAAAGCGUCCGCAGGUGGUUAAACAAGUCAGAUGUGAAAGCCCCGAGCUCAACUUGGGAACUGCAUUUGAAACUGUUUGACUAGAAGGUAAGAGAGGCUGGUAGAAUUCUCGGUGUAGAGGUGAAAUUCGUAGAUAUCGAGAGGAAUACCCAUGGCGAAGGCAGCCAGCUGGCUUAUUCUUGACACUCAUGGACGAAAGCGUGGGGAGCAAACAGGAUUAGAUACCCUGGUAGUCCACGCCCUAAACGAUGCAUGCUCGCUGUCGGGUCCGAUACAGGCCUCGGUGGCUCAGCUAACGCGGUAAGCAUGCCGCCUGGGGAUUACGGCCGCAAGGUUAAA